GUGGGGAAUCUUCCACAAUGGACGAAAGUCUGAUGGAGCAACGCCGCGUGAGUGAAGAAGGGUUUCGGCUCGUAAAGCUCUGUUGUCGGGGACGAAUGUGCAGUAUUUGAAUAAAGUACUGCAAUGACGGUACCUGACGAGGAAGCCACGGCUAACUACGUGCCAGCAGCCGCGGUAAUACGUAGGUGGCAAGCGUUGUCCGGAAUUAUUGGGCGUAAAGGGAGCGCAGGCGGGAAGGUAAGUCGGUCUUAAAAGUGCGGGGCUCAACCCCGUGAUGGGAUCGAAACUAUCUUUCUUGAGUGCAGGAGAGGAAAGUGGAAUUCCUAGUGUAGCGGUGAAAUGCGUAGAUAUUAGGAGGAACACCAGUGGCGAAGGCGCCUUUCUGGACUGUGUCUGACGCUGAGAUGCGAAAGCCAGGGUAGCGAACGGGAUUAGAUACCCGUGUAGUCC
Molecule: ribosomal RNA, 450 nt
Filed under: uncultured bacterium
Lineage: Bacteria
Description: partial 16S ribosomal RNA
Rfam family: Bacterial small subunit ribosomal RNA
Source: RNAcentral